RNAcentral lists this ribosomal RNA (460 nucleotides) under uncultured bacterium. RNAcentral describes it as "partial 16S ribosomal RNA". It matches the Rfam family "Bacterial small subunit ribosomal RNA", at positions 338 to 795 of the family's 1533-position model. The record is from RNAcentral.
CCUACGGGUGGCAGCAGUGAGGAAUAUUGGUCAAUGGACGCAAGUCUGAACCAGCCAUGCCGCGUGCAGGAAGACGGCUCUAUGAGUUGUAAACUGCUUUUGUACGAGGGUAAACGCAGAUACGCGUAUCUGUCUGAAAGUAUCGUACGAAUAAGGAUCGGCUAACUCCGUGCCAGCAGCCGCGGUAAUACGGAGGAUUCAAGCGUUAUCCGGAUUUAUUGGGUUUAAAGGGUGCGUAGGUGGUUGGAUAAGUUAGAGGUGAAAUCCCGAGGCUCAACCUCGGAAUUGCCUCUGAUACUGGUCGUCUAGAGAGUAGUUGCGGUAGGCGGAAUGUAUGGUGUAGCGGUGAAAUGCUUAGAGAUCAUGCAGAACACCGAUUGCGAAGGCAGCUUACCAGGCUACUUCUGACGUUGAGGCACGAAAGCGUGGGGAGCAAACAGGAUUAGAUACCCGAGUAGUC